CGGAUGAACGCUGGCGGCGUGCCUAACACAUGCAAGUCGAACGGACCUUGCUCAACAGAGGUACUUGUACCGAAGGAGAGCGCUGGUUAGUGGCGGACGGGUGAGUAACACGUGGGUAAUUAACCUUCCGGACCGGGAUAACAUCGGGAAACUGGUGCUAAUACCGGAUACGAUUCACGGGCGGCAUCGCCUGUGGAUGAAAAGAGGCCUCUCGAAGAAGCUCCUGCUGGAAGACAAGCCCGCGGCUGAUUAGCUAGUUGGUAAGGUAACGGCUUACCAAGGCAACGAUCAGUAGCCGGCCUGAGAGGGUGAACGGCCACACUGGGACUGAGACACGGCCCAGACUCCUACGGGAGGCAGCAGUUGGGAAUCUUCGGCAAUGGGCGCAAGCCUGACCGAGCAACGCCGCGUGAGUGAUGAAGGUUUUCGGAUUGUAAAGCUCUGUCUUCCGGGACGAUAAUGACGGUACCGGAGGAGGAAGCCACGGCUAACUACGUG
RNAcentral lists this ribosomal RNA (498 nucleotides) under uncultured bacterium. RNAcentral's name for it is "bacterial SSU rRNA". It matches the Rfam family "Bacterial small subunit ribosomal RNA", at positions 27 to 507 of the family's 1533-position model. The record is from RNAcentral.